This 468-nucleotide ribosomal RNA is filed under the name uncultured bacterium. RNAcentral's name for it is "partial 16S ribosomal RNA". It matches the Rfam family "Bacterial small subunit ribosomal RNA", at positions 28 to 507 of the family's 1533-position model. The record is from RNAcentral.
GACGAACGCUGGCGGCGUGCUUAACACAUGCCAGUCGAACGGAAAGGCCCUGCUUUUGUGGGGUGCUCGAGUGGCGAACGGGUGAGUAACACGUGAGUAACCUGCCCUUGACUUUGGGAUAACUUCAGGAAACUGGGGCUAAUACCGGAUAGGAGCUCCUGCUGCAUGGUGGGGGUUGGAAAGUUUCGGCGGUUGGGGAUGGACUCGCGGCUUAUCAGCUUGUUGGUGGGGUAGUGGCUUACCAAGGCUUUGACGGGUAGCCGGCCUGAGAGGGUGACCGGCCACAUUGGGACUGAGAUACGGCCCAGACUCCUACGGGAGGCAGGAGUGGGGAAUGUUGCACAAUGGGCGGAAGCCUGAUGCAGCAACGCCGCGUGCGGGAUGACGGCCUUCGGGUUGUAAACCGCUUUCGCCUGUGACGAAGCGUGAGUGACGGUAAUGGGUAAAGAAGCACCGGCUAACUACGUG